UUGUUCCCCAACGUCGCUUUUGGUGCCCGAGAACAGUAGUUUUUGAAUUUCUGGAAUAAACUGGUAUAAGGCUAGAAUUGAUGUUCCACCUUUUUUCUGAAAUAAGCUUGUUUCCAGAUGAGAACAAAGUUAAUUAAAAUUAAAAUUUAAUUUUAACCACAGUAAAUUAUUAAUUAAUCUAAUUAAUAUAUUUAAAUUAUUAUUUAUUACUUAAAUAAUAAAAUAUUUAAUUUAUUUAUUAUGUAUAAUUAGUUAUUAAUAAUUAAAUAAUAAUUAUUAUUAAUUUAUUAUUUAUAAUUAAUUGUUAAUAAUUUUUAAUAAUUAUUACUCUCAAUAAUUAGAUAAUCGAUAUUAUUAUUAAUUUAUUAUUUAUAAUUAUUUAUUAAUAAUUUUUAAUUCGAUAUUAUUAUUAAUUAAUUAUUAUUAUUCUUAAUAAUUAGAUAAUCGAUAUUAUUAUUAAUUUAUUAUUUAUAAUUAUUUAUUAAUAAUUAUUAAUAAUUAUUCUUAAUAAUUAUAUAAUCAAUAUUAUUAAUAAUUUAUUAUUUAUAAUUAAUUAUUAAUAAUGUUUAAUUCGAUAUUAUAAUUAAUUAAUAAUUAUUACUAAUAAUUAGAUAAUCGAUAUUAUUAUUAAUUUAUUAUUUAUAAUUAUUUAUUAAUUAUU
RNAcentral lists this long non-coding RNA (661 nucleotides) under Ananas comosus (pineapple). Its description in RNAcentral is "long non-coding RNA (ACOM_LNC028686)". Lineage: Eukaryota; Viridiplantae; Streptophyta; Magnoliopsida; Poales; Bromeliaceae. The record is from RNAcentral.